RNAcentral lists this ribosomal RNA (465 nucleotides) under uncultured bacterium. Its description in RNAcentral is "bacterial SSU rRNA". It matches the Rfam family "Bacterial small subunit ribosomal RNA", at positions 338 to 795 of the family's 1533-position model. The record is from RNAcentral.
CCUACGGGUUGCACCAGUGGGGAAUAUUGCACAAUGGGCGCAAGCCUGAUGCAGCCAUGCCGCGUGUAUGAAGAAGGCCUUCGGGUUGUAAAGUACUUUCAGCGGGGAGGAAGGCGGUGAGGUUAAUAACCUCGCCGAUUGACGUUACCCGCAGAAGAAGCACCGGCUAACUCCGUGCCAGCAGCCGCGGUAAUACGGAGGGUGCAAGCGUUAAUCGGAAUUACUGGGCGUAAAGCGCUCGCAGGCGGUCUGUUAAGUCAGAUGUGAAAUCCCCGGGCUUAACCUGGGAACUGCAUUUGAAACUGGCAGGCUUGAGUCUCGUAGAGGGGGGUAGAAUUCUAGGUGUAGCGGUGAAAUGCGUAGAGAUCUGGAGGAAUACCGGUGGCGAAGGCGGCCCCCUGGACGAAGACUGACGCUCAGGUGCGAAAGCGUGGGGAGCAAACAGGAUUAGAUACCCGAGUAGUC